CUGCUCGUUUUGGCAGCACAUGUACUAAAAUUGGCACAAUACAGAGAAGAUUAGCAUAGCCCUUGUGCAAGGAUGACACACAAAUUCAGGAAGCAUUCCAUAUUUAA
Molecule: small nuclear RNA, 107 nt
Filed under: Myotis davidii
Lineage: Eukaryota; Metazoa; Chordata; Mammalia; Chiroptera; Vespertilionidae
Source: RNAcentral